GCCUCAUGGUCGAGUGGUGAGGACACUUGCGUCUCACUCUAGAGUUCCCGGUUCAAUCCCAGGUCGAGGAGCU
Non-coding RNA from Rhamnusium bicolor, 73 nucleotides. The record is from the annotation of a GenBank genome assembly. NCBI's taxonomy places the organism in Eukaryota, Metazoa, Arthropoda, Insecta, Coleoptera, Cerambycidae.